RNAcentral lists this ribosomal RNA (922 nucleotides) under 'Vigna radiata' phytoplasma. RNAcentral's name for it is "bacterial SSU rRNA". It matches the Rfam family "Bacterial small subunit ribosomal RNA", at positions 276 to 1209 of the family's 1533-position model. The record is from RNAcentral. Lineage: Bacteria; Bacillati; Mycoplasmatota; Mollicutes; Acholeplasmatales; Acholeplasmataceae.
AUGAUGUGUAGCCGGGCUGAGAGGUUGAACGGCCACAUUGGGACUGAGACACGGCCCAAACUCCUACGGGAGGCAGCAGUAGGGAAUUUUCGGCAAUGGAGGAAACUCUGACCGAGCAACGCCGCGUGAACGAUGAAGUAUUUCGGUACGUAAAGUUCUUUUAUAGGGAAGAAUAAAUGAUGGAAAAAUCAUUCUGACGGUACCUAAUGAAUAAGCCCCGGCUAACUAUGUGCCAGCAGCCGCGGUAAUACAUAGGGGGCAAGCGUUAUCCGGAAUUAUUGGGCGUAAAGGGUGCGUAGGCGGUUAAAUAAGUUUAUGGUCUAAGUGCAAUGCUCAACAUUGUGAUGCUAUAAAAACUGUUUAGCUAGAGUAAGAUAGAGGCAAGUGGAAUUCCAUGUGUAGUGGUAAAAUGCGUAAAUAUAUGGAGGAACACCAGUAGCGAAGGCGGCUUGCUGGGUCUUUACUGACGCUGAGGCACGAAAGCGUGGGGAGCAAACAGGAUUAGAUACCCUGGUAGUCCACGCCGUAAACGAUGAGUACUAAACGUUGGGUAAAACCAGUGUUGAAGUUAACACAUUAAGUACUCCGCCUGAGUAGUACGUACGCAAGUAUGAAACUUAAAGGAAUUGACGGGACUCCGCACAAGCGGUGGAUCAUGUUGUUUAAUUCGAAGGUACCCGAAAAACCUCACCAGGUCUUGACAUGCUUCUGCAAAGCUGUAGAAACACAGUGGAGGUUAUCAGUUGCACAGGUGGUGCAUGGUGUCGUCAGCUCGUGUCGUGAGAUGUUGGGUUAAGUCCCGCAACGAGCGCAACCCUUAUUGUUAGUUACCAGCACGUAAUGGUGGGGACUUUAGCAAGACUGCCAGUGAUAAAUUGGAGGAAGGUGGGGACGACGUCAAAUCAUCAUGCCCCUUAUGACU